UCCCCUAGUAACUGCGAGUGAAGCGGGAAAAGCUCAAAUUUAAAAUCUGGUAGUCUUUGGCUGCCCGAGUUGUAAUCUAGAGAAGCAUUAUCCGCGCUGGACCGUGUACAAGUCUCCUGGAACGGAGCGUCAUAGAGGGUGAGAAUCCCGUCUUUGACACGGACUACCAGGGCUUUGUGAUGUGCUCUCAAAGAGUCGAGUUGUUUGGGAAUGCAGCUCUAAAUGGGUGGUAAAUUCCAUCUAAAGCUAAAUAUUGGCGAGAGACCGAUAGCGAACAAGUACCGUGAGGGAAAGAUGAAAAGAACUUUGGAAAGAGAGUUAAACAGUACGUGAAAUUGUUGAAAGGGAAACGCUUGAAGUCAGUCGCGUCUGCUUGGAAUCAACCUUGCUUCUUGCUUGGCUUAUUUCCUUGUAGAUGGGUCAGCAUCAAUUUUGACCGGUGGAUAAAGGCGUGGGGAAUGUGGCAUCUUCGGGUGUGUUAUAGCCCUGCGUUGUAUACAUCGGUUGGGAUUGAGGAACUCAGCACUUGUGCUUAGGAUGCUGGCAUAAUGGCUUUAAUCGACCCGUCUUGAAACACGGACCAAGGAGUCUAACAUGCCCGCGAGUGUUUGGGUGGAAAACCCGAGCGCGUAAUGAAAGUGAAAGUUGAGAUCCCUGUCGUGGGGAGCAUCGACGCCCGGACCAGACCUUUUGUGACGGUCCCGCGGUAGAGCGUGUAUGUUGGGACCCGAAAGAUGGUGAACUAUGCCUGAAUAGGGUGAAGCCAGAGGAAACUCUGGUGGAGGCUCGUAGCGAUUCUGACGUGCAAAUCGAUCGUC
This 818-nucleotide ribosomal RNA is filed under the name Australocybe olivacea. RNAcentral's name for it is "partial large subunit ribosomal RNA". It matches the Rfam family "Eukaryotic large subunit ribosomal RNA", at positions 76 to 906 of the family's 3401-position model. The record is from RNAcentral. Lineage: Eukaryota; Fungi; Basidiomycota; Agaricomycetes; Agaricales; Lyophyllaceae.